Molecule: non-coding RNA, 25 nt
Filed under: Mus musculus (house mouse)
Lineage: Eukaryota; Metazoa; Chordata; Mammalia; Rodentia; Muridae
Source: RNAcentral
UUUGGCAGCUACUUGGGGAAGCAGG